CAGCCACACAAAAUGCUCCUCCUUCUCUCUAGUCUCUCUAUCUCUGUCUCUCUUCCCCUCUCAUAAACCAUGGCUGCCACCUCCACUGGCCGGUGAAGUCCGGAGCACCAUCCGUCACCUCCCUUCCUCCUCUCCGACGAACACCAUCGCCGCCGCCGCUGCCGCCCUUUGAUUUUCCGGCGAAUAACCAACUAUGUGAAGCCACCGCCGAACCAGCAACCUCCUUCCCCAUCGCGGCUCCAUAUCCAGCUACCACUGCACUAAGCCGCUCAACCGCGCCACCAGAAGCCCUCAAAAACCUCCAGCCCACCGCUGCCUCUCCCAACCUCGCCGGCGAAGGCUCCAAUGAGCCAAUCAGCCCUCUCAUCUCCAUGUCGAUGCUCGAUUUUCGCCGAAAAUAUUGUAUUUCAUGAUGGAUUCAUCAAAUCCGUCUCAGGUUUGUUAUUUUGUUCAAAUUUCUUUCUUCUACUUCUUUAUUUAUUUUCUCUUCUGAUAGAUCUUAUUAGACUUAAAUUGAUCAUGAAUUUUGAGUUGUUUUAAUGUGUUCAUGUUUGCAGACCAACAUCCGUGAAAAAUGCAUAACUUUUGUGGAUUUUAAGCAAACAGUCAUAACUUUGAUUACGAAAGUUUGAUUUAGUUGAUUGAGUUAUUCACAUGAUUAAAUUAUUAGAGUUAUCCUGUUGGUAUGUUGUGAAUUUUGCCCAUCUUUGUGUCUUUGUGUUGUUACUUUGAUAGCAGGUGUUCUUUGAUAUGACUAUGGACUGAUUCAGAUACAAUUAGCAUAGCGUUACUAGGUGUAAAUUGCGUGACUUUUGAUAAAGGGUUUGACACUAGUUGAUUCACUCCUAAUUGGAAUAACCUUGAUGCCUAGUUAAUUUUGGUAGAUUAUAAAUUUUUUCCCCUUCCCUUCAUAUGACACUUUUGUUACUUGAAUAGGUACGGUAAAUACAUAAUUGGUGCUUUUCAUUGAAAUAUAAUUGAUAUAUAAUUGAUUUGCUUAAUUGACAUUUUACUUUUUUUUUUUUUGACUGAAUUGGGUAUUUUAAGUGUGAUUUUAUAUAUAUGAAAAACUCCCUUGAUUGACUUCAUCCAAUAUUCCCCUCUUCCUUAAUUGAUUCUGACUGAUUUUUGAAUAUCUCUUUGCCCUUUUCUGUUGUGGCUAAUUGACUCUGACAUAUUGCCUUUUUUUUGGACUCUUUAUCCUCUCACUAUAUAAACAGACCCUCUUCCUUAAUUGAUUCUGACUGAUUUUUGAAUAUCUCUUUUCCUUUUCUGUUGUGGCUAAUUGACUCUGACAUAUUGUCUUUUCUGUUGACUCUUUAUCCUCUCACUAUAUAAACAGACCCUCUUUUCAAUUAGAGGACAACAAUCAUAUUCCACUUUCUCUGCUUUUACUCUCUGAAACAUAAAGAACUACUAGCUAUUCUAAUAGAAAAAAAAUACAUAUUUCUCAAGCUGUGUGGCGUUUCUUGUUGAGUUUUAUGGAAGUAUUCUGUAUCUCACCAUUGGGAGUGCUUUACUUCAACAUCCUUCUAAUUAUUUAUUUUAUCUACUGCUCACUAAUAAGUUCUCAAAUCGAUGUAAUCUUUUUUUAUUAUUUUUUGUUUAUGUUGAUUGCAUCAUGUUAAAACCUUUAGAAAGCAUGUCUAUAGGAAUAUUUCAAUAUUAGAUGCUCUUGUUUUCUUGCUAUUAUAUCUUGUCUCGCAGGUUUAAAUAGAUAAUUAUGGAGUUUCAAAAAGUCGUCGGAAUGUUUAAACUGAAUAUGUUGUUCUUUAUAGCUAGUUGUUUUUCUUUCUUCUUAUUUUAUAUUAUUUGGUCUGUAAUAUUACUGUAAAGAUAUUAUUAUUGUAAUGAUAAUUUUAGAGAUUGCUUGGGGCAGGAACUUACGUGCUCUAUGAAUAGUAUAGAUAGGCACAACUUAGAUUUUAUGUUUGUUACAUGCUACGUGAAUUAUUUAGGCACAUAACAUUAGGAUUUAUUAACACAUGAAUCGUUUAGACACUUUUAUUAAUUGAUUCGCUUAGAAAUCUUUCUCCCGACAUAUUAAAUUGAGUUUAUGCAUGCUAAUACCUCUUUUGACAUCUCCACAUUGAGUUUAAGCAUGGUAACAUUUUUAGUACAUUGGCCUACUACAUUAAAUGUUUGCAUGUUAAACACUGCAAUUUAUUAACUUCGCAUUGCAUGUUUUGGCGUGUUAAUACAAUUUAGGCAUAUUAAAACAAGUUUGAGCAUGUUAAUAUUGUGAGCAUGUCAAUAAUUAAUUUUUGCAUAUUAAUACACUUUUAGCAUGUUUAGACACUCAGAUUAAGUAUAUCAUUUCGUAGUAUAUCAUUUCGUGUUUUCGACAUGUAAACAAUAUUUAAGCAUGAUAAUAUGGUAUGCAUGUUAACAAUUAAUUGUAUGCAUAUUAAUGAAUUUUUCAACACGUUAAAAGAUGUCAAAAACUGGAAUUAAUUAUGUUGUCGCAUAUUUUAGCAUAUAAAUACAAAUCUAAGCUGCUAACGUUUUUUAGAGCAUGUUAACAUUAAACUUCUACCCGUUAAUAUAUUUCGACAUGCCAAAGUAGUAUAGUUCAUGCGUGUUAAAACAAUUAAGUUUCGGCAUGUUAAAAUAGUAGAUUUUAGACAUUUUCAGCAUGUUAUUGCAUUUUCCAGCAUAUUAACAUGAAAUUUCUGCACCAUUAGCAUAAUUUUUAGCAUGUUAAGCAUUAAAUUUUAGGCAUUUUCAGCAUGUUAUUGCAAUUUAAGCAUGUCAACAUGAAUUUUCUGCGCACUAAUACAAUUGCCAAUAUGUUAAAAUGUAGGUUGUUGAGCAUUUUCAACAUGUUAAACACUAGAUUAAGUAGCCUUAGCAUGUUAAUGUAUUUUCAAUAUUUGUUAAUUUCUUACUCUCAUUAGUUUAUAACACUUGCACAAUGAAAGUCGUGAGCAUAACUUCUUGACAUAUUUACCGCACUUUGACAUCCUCUUUCAAUAAUUUGACAACACAUUGUUACAGACCCUCUCUCUUUAAAAAUCCCAAAAAGAGUGGUUAUGUCAAAUUUUGCUUUUCGCAAGAAAAAAUGGGGCGCGACAGAAUGACGACUCUACUGGGGAUCUUAGGUUCUAACCAUUACGAAUUUGUGCUUUACGUGGGAUUCCCUCCAUUUGUUUUGAUAAUGUUUGACAUCCUGAUUUAUUUUUUAUCUGUUCUUCUUUUAUCAUUUACUUACACCAUGAUUUAUUAGUCCUUUCUCCUUUUCCCUUUUUAUGUGUUUUUAUAUGUCUCCAUAUCUAUCCCAUUUCCUUUUUCCCUUUUUAUUGUUUAUGCGUUAUCAUGUUCAUCUAUAUGCAUGUUAUAUUUCACUAUGUGCUAUGUGUUACUGCUUUUAUAUAACUGGCCUUCUGCUCAUACUUUCCUCCAAUUGGAACUCUUUUUACGAAUGGUUGCGUAGGUACACAGACGUUCUUUCCUAAACACCAUAUGGGAAAUGCCUUGUGGAUCAAUCGAUCAGCGGUGCGUAACAGUCACAAACUUUCCCACUCGAGGGAACCAUGUUAUAAACCGACUCUUUUCCUUUAGGUCUUGGCUACAUAUUUCUUUUAUUAAGGAAUAUGCAUCCCAUUCAACGUCGGAUGUCUUGGCAUCCUUGACGCAUUGAAUGUUAGUCUCAUUCAAAGUCCAAAGAGUUUCAUGAUCUCAAAGGGACUCACAAUUAUUUGCUAUGUGUUGCAUUUCUAUGUAUGUAUUUAUAUCUUGCCUAUUUUGUUGUUUCCGUUCUUGCUUUAGUCACUCCUUACUUUUAGUAUUCCUCACUUUAGAACUCUUUACUUUUAUAAUUCUUGUCAUGUUAGGACCCUACAAGGCACUCUUAGGGCCUAUUCAAAAUCCUCUAAUUCAUCCCUACUUGCCAUUCAACUUCUACAACCCUCAAAAUUCUGAACUACGUCCGACCUGAUUCUUGUUUAAACAAGAUAAGUAGGCAAUCCUUUACGAGGGUACGGUCUUUCUUUUCCCUUUCUUUUACAAAACAUCCUAAUAUUUGAAAAUGCGAAACAAACUUAUUCAUUCAAAUAGUUUUUCUAUGAAAACAUAUUCUCCAUUUCUUUCACCUUUCCAUAAUGUCAUAAGGGUGAAACUUAGAAGCUUUUCUCUGAAUCAUUCCAACAACUUUUCACAAUUUUUUUAACUCUCAGACAUUUCGAACUAAAUAUUUUAAAAUUUUCAAAACUUUUCAAAUCUUUAAUUCUCCCAUCCAGUCCAAAACAAUUUCUUUAAACACUUUAUGUGCAUCUUUUAAAUAGCUUAUCGUUAUCAGUUUUAAGUACAAACUUAGUACCUAAGUCUUGAGUGGAGCCUAUCUUCUACUUUUGAUGUCAAAUCAUUUCUGAAGCUUAAGUUCUAACCCACCUAUUCUCCCUGAAGUCCUCCUUGACAAAAUGACUCAUAUUAUCGUACUGUAUAUUUUCUUAUUGGAUCCACUCGCUCCUAUUUUGUUCAAAUUGCUAUUUUAUCAAACAUCGGCUCAUUUGAAAAUCUGCGAUAUGACAAAUAUGCUCAAUAUUUCAAAAAAUUUCAUCAUUUUCUUCUUGUCCAAGGCGAUACACUGCUUGAAUUGUAUCUCUUUAUUCUCACCCUAUCCCUACCAACAACAAAUAUUUAGGUUAUGUUUCUUGUGAUUGUGAUAAAGUAAUCCGAACCAAAGAUUGAGCAAAUGAGGUUAGAAAUUCCUAAUUCCAAGCUUCUAUGCGUCAGACUUGGAUUAUAAUAUCAUAAGUCACAUAUAUUUGUCAUCCUCAACCUACCUCGGACUUAAUAAGGCUUCAUACAUUAUAGAACAUUUUAUUCUUGCAUAUUAACAUGUUUAAUUUUUCACUAUAUAUCAUAUUCACCUUACUAACUUGACUUUUUUUUCUUUUUUUCUUUUUUUUUUUUAAUUUUAUUUAUUUUUUUCUCCCACGCCCAAAGGAUUGAUUCGUGCAUUCUUUCGCCCAUCAAGGCUCGGUCUCCUUCUCUUAAAGCUUAGUCACCAAGAUAGAAAAAUCGGUGAUAACAAUGAUACUAGAAAUGAGCAUAAUGAGAUGAUCUUACAAAUGGAAGAAAGAAUCCUUGAACUGGAAGGGAAAUUGUCACAAGUCCAUAACUUAUCUAAUCUACCGUUGCUUUGAAUGCUCCUCUCGAACCAUAAGUUGAGGGUACCACCACUAUUGAAUCCCAUCCCACCUUCACAAGUCAUCCCGUACCAUCACUUCCUAUUUCACUACCCUAAACAAUUCAAGUCAUGUAUACACGUUUCCUAAACAUAACCCAUAUCCACAUCCUUGCAUACCAUAAUACCACACUUAUCCAGCUCCACUAAAUUCGCAAACAACAUCAUAUGUCCACAAUAUGCUGCCCAUAGAUACCACAAAUAUGCCUAAUUUUCAUAAUCCAAGUAGUUAUACUUUAAUUCAAGUUAUGUCAAAACGACUCCAUUCACCCACCACCACUAUAAAUUCAAACCUCCAAAAAAUGCAGCCCUUAUACAAUCUGUAGUUGAAAGAUUGGAACAACUUGAAGGCAAUAAGUGGUUGAAAGGGCUAAGUUAUGAGGACCUAUGCAUGCACCCUGACAUUGAACUGUUGAAGGGGUACAAACCUCCUAAAUUUGAAUUGUAUAAUGGGACUAGAGAUCCGAAAGUCUAUUUGAAACUAUAUUGCGACAAGCUAGUAGGAGUUGGUAAAAAUGAGCAGAUUCUUAUACAGUUAUUCAUGAAGAGUCUCACUGGAGAUGCUUUGUUAUGGUAUGUCACAUAAGAUGCAACAAAAUGGUCAAAAUGGACCGACGUGGCCUCUGCUUUUAUAGAAAGAUUUGGUUUUAAUGUCGAGAAUGCGCUUGAUUAGUUCUACAUUCAGAAGUUAAAGAAGAAACCUACAAAAUCAUUCCGAGAAUAUGGAAUGAGAUAGAUACAUAAAGCUUUCAAAGUGCGCCCUCCUUUAGAUGAAAAUCAAAUGAAGGAAUUUUUCAUUCACGCCCAAGAGCCAUAGUAUUAUGAAAGGAUGAUGCUUAUAGACGAUCGAAAGCUUAUUGACAUCAUUAAAUUAGGUGAGAGAAUUGAAGAAGGUAUUAAAAAGGACAUGAUAAUGAAUUUGGAAGCGUUGCAAGCGAUUAAGACUUCAAAGGCCGAUGAGAAUAAUGACAUGAAGGAAGUAAAUGUUGUCUUGACUACGCAAGAUCCUAAAACCCCUCUGGUUUACCCAACUCCAUUUCCUUCGCUUCAUACCAAACAUCCAUAUAUCAAGCACCUUCAUAUCCAUUUCCCCCACCAACAUACAAUUAUCUCAUAUUAUCUUAUAAUCUUACUAACUCUCUUGCACAACCCGCGUAUCUUCAAAUUCCUCCAAAUACAUUAACUUAUCAAAAUCCACUAACGAAUCUACAACCCAAUAAAUUCAUCACACCUCAAGCCAAGCUUCAGAAAAAUCAAUCAAGACAGUACAUUCCUUUGGCUGAGCCUAUAGACCAACUUUAUGAGAAAUUAAAGGUAGAUAGUUACAUUACUCUAAUUCCUGCAAUUGUAAUGAAUAUAUGUGCAAAAUGGAUUGAUCAUUUCAAAGUUUGCGCUUAUCAUUCAAGGAUGACAGGCCACACCACAGAAGAAUGUCGUGCUUUAAAGGAUAAAAUUCAAGCACUUAUUGAUACCAAGGCAAUAAAUGUACUGAGGCCAUAUCUUAAUUAAGCAUUGGCAUUUAUCCAAUAUUAAGGAUGGGGUAUCACGUUGUUUCCUCAUUCCAAGCUCUCAAGCACUUGAGUUACUAUAAUCUUUACAUUUGCUUGGAACAAUAUGAAUUUCUUCUAUGUAAUUUGAACUAUAUUCGACCUGAUUCCCAUUUAAGAUGGAUACGUAGGCGCUCCUAUGGAGUUCGGUCUUAUCAUAAUGAAAUUUUCAUAUUCUCUUAAAGCAUGUAACUAGGGCAUAAUUUUUGAAAGGAUUUCAAAAAUUCUAUGAUUCUACAAGUUUAGGACGGACAAGACAUAUAACUGGGGUAGAAUUUUUGAGAGGGUCUAAAAAAUUCUAUCAAGAAGCAUUUCAAACAAAUUCAAGGAUAACAAGAUUAAGGCCAUGAAACUGGGGCAGAAAUUUUUGAGGAGUCCUAAAAAAUUUCAUCAAGGAUUGCAUCUCAAGAAAGCGAUAUAAAGACAAUGGAUCCAGGACCUGAAUAAAGGAACUGACAGAGACAUGAAUCAAUCUUUCCCCCCUUUUUUAAGACUAAUAAUUUUUUUUGAGCGCAGGAAUAGAGUGACGAGUACAAAUCUUGAGUAUGCUAUACACCAUUAGAAGAUAUAAGGUUAAGUAUUGUCGUCUUAUAUUCUGAGCGGGUGAAGCACUACCCUCUCGAGAGAAACUGUUUGAGGCUAAGCAUUAUCCUUGAAAAGUUAAUCGGGUUAAGCACUACCCUCUCUCAACAAGUUUAUAAAAAACUAAGCUUUGUUUCAAAAAUUUGAUGGAGUUAAGCACGACUCUAUCAAGAACUCUCUGAGGCUAAGCAUUGUCCUUGGAAAGUUAAGUAGGUUAAGCGCUACCCUUUUUCGAGAAACUGACUGAGGCUAAGCAUUGUCCUUGAAAGUUAGUUGGGUUAAGCACUCUCGAGAAAUUAUUCGAACUAAGCAUUGUUUUGAAAAUUCGAUGGAGUUAAGCAUGACUCUAUCAAGAACUCUUUAAUGUUAAGCAUUGUCCUUAGAAAGUUAAAUGGGUUAAGCACUACCCUCUUUUGAGAAACUGACUAAGGCUAAGCAUUGUCUUUGAAAGUUAGUUGGGUUAAGCACUACCCUUUCUCGAGAAAUCAUCUGAACUAAGCAUUGUUUUGAGAACUCAAUGGAGUUAAGGACUACUCUAUUAAAAACUCUCUAAGGCUAAGCAUUGUCCUUGGAAAUUUAAGUGGGUUAAGCACUACCCUUUUUCGAUAAAAACUCUCUAAGGCUACGCAUUGUCCUUGAAAAGUUAAGUGGGUUAAGUAUUACCCUGUUUCGAGAAACUGACUAAGGCUGAGCAUUGUCCUCGAAAGUUAGUUGGGUUAAGCACUACCCUCUCUCGAGAAAUCAUUCGAACUAAGCAUUAUUUUGAAAACUCGGUGGAGUUAAGCAUUACUCUAUAAAAACUCUCUAAGGCUGAGCAUUGUCCUUGGAAAGAUAAGUGGGUUAAGCACUACCCUCUUUCGAAAAAAAACACUAAGGCUGAGCAUUGUCCUUGGAAAGGUUUAAGCUCUACUCUCUCUCAAGAAAUUGUCCAAGACUAAGCAUUGUCCUCUUGGAGCCGAUCGAUUUACUCAAAGACGAACACUAUUUUCUAAUACUGAACAUGUUAAGCACAACCGACCUCGGCGUUAUUAAAUGCUACUGCAUUACUGGACAUGGUGUGGAUUAAGCACAACCUCUUCAAAGAACAAACCAUUACUCUCUCAUAACAGAUACACUUUUUUAUCUUCUCUUAUCAUUAUUGUUAUGGUUGUUUUUACUACAUUGUUCAAUCUUCUAUACAUACAUAUCCGUGCUAAUCAUUUUAUCCAGUUGAGCUAAAAAUGACAGGACUAAUAGGUACAGAUUACUCCAUCACGAGCAACCAAGAGCUUAUCCCAUGAUUCCACAGUGCAUUGAGAAGCCAAAGAGUUGAUUUCAUGAUACAACAAAUUCGCUUUCUUAUUAUCACACUCACUUUAUGUUAAUCGAUUGCUUAUCUUUUACAUGCCCUAACCUUUGUUAUCUAGUAUAUGAUAAAGUAGGCAGGUAAGGAAUAACAAAUAGAGAAUAAUUUCCAUUCCUGUUUUCAAAAUAUCACCUCAUCUAUUCAUCCAUCGAAUGAACUCAUCUUAAAAAUCACCUGCUUUUAGUUUGCACAUCCCCUCACAUCAUCAUUUCAAAACAUAUUCAUCCCAUCUUACCGACCUACAACAGCUUUGUUGAAUGUCCAUCCUUUAUCAUUUACACUUUUUAGGAAUAUUGUUCAUUCCUAAAUCCAGAACUACAAACAGCCUGAUUCUCAUAAAAUCGGAGAUAUGUAGGCAACUUGAAACCUAAGACUCGGCCAUACUUUUUUUUAAACUACCCCUAUACUUUCAUUCCAACAAACCCUCCUCUCGGUCGGACAAAAUUGGCUACUACAACAACUUUUGUUGCUCGAUAAUUCUUUCAUCAUUCUCAAGCAACGAAAUUAUUAUUAUUAUUAUUAUUAUUGUUAUUAUUAUUGUUGUUGUAACAUUUAUCAAAUAGCAACCAAUUUUAAUUUAUUUUGCCUAAUUUAUUUAAAUUUUAGCCUUUUCCAACUCAUAACACUCUUAGGCUAAUUUUAUCCAACUUAUUACAAUUCUAGCCAUAUUUAAUUCAAUUUUAAAAAUCUCAAUUUAUCUUCUUAUCCUUUUAAUCGCAGCCAUGGAUCAAGAUCGAUCCAACGGCUGAGAUCGCAUCCCCCUCUUUCCUUUUUAAACUCAAAACAAAAAAAACCUAAGGGCCCAUUCAGAAACCAUGGCUGCCACCGCCACUGGCCGGCGAAGCCCGGAGUACCACUUUUCACCUCCCUUCCUCCUCUCCGACGAACCCAUCGCCGCCGCCACCAUCUUCCACCAGCGCUGCCAACCCCAUCGCCGCCGCCGUCCUUUGUUUUUUCGGCGAACAACCAAUUAUGUGAAGCCACAGCCGAACCAGCCUCCUCCUUCCCCGUCGAGGCUCCAUAUCCGGCGACCACUGCACCAAGACGCUUAACCGCGCCACCAGAAGCCCUCAAAAACCUCCAGCCCGCCGCCGCAUCUCCCAACCUCGCCGGCAAAGGCUCUAACGAGCCAAUCAGCCCUCUCAUCUCCACGUCGAUGCUCGAUUUUCGCCGAAAAUAUUGUAAUUCAUGACGGAUUCGUCAAAUCCAUCUCAGGUUUGUUAUUUUGUUCAAAUUUCUUUCUUCUACUUCUUUAUUUAUUUUCUCUUCGGAUCGAUCUUAUUAAACUUAAUAUGAAUAUGAAUUUUGAGUUGUUUUAAUGUGUUCAUGUUUUCAGACCAACAUCCAUGAAAAAUUCAUAACUUUUGUGGAUUUUUAAGG
RNAcentral lists this long non-coding RNA (10042 nucleotides) under Capsicum annuum. RNAcentral describes it as "long non-coding RNA (CANN_LNC002553)". The record is from RNAcentral. Lineage: Eukaryota; Viridiplantae; Streptophyta; Magnoliopsida; Solanales; Solanaceae.